CAGUAGCCGCGGGAAUACGUAGGUGGCAAGCGUUGUCCGGAAUUAUUGGGCGUAAAGGGCUCGCAGGCGGUUUCUUAAGUCUGAUGUGAAAGCCCCCGGCUCAACCGGGGAGGGUCAUUGGAAACUGGGAAACUUGAGUGCAGAAGAGGAGAGUGGAAUUCCACGUGUAGCGGUGAAAUGCGUAGAGAUGUGGAGGAACACCAGUGGCGAAGGCGACUCUCUGGUCUGUAACUGACGCUAAGGAGCGAAAGCGUGGGGAGCGAACAGGAUUAGAUACCCCGGUAGUCCCUGUCUCUUAUAC
This 301-nucleotide ribosomal RNA is filed under the name uncultured bacterium. RNAcentral's name for it is "partial 16S ribosomal RNA". It matches the Rfam family "Bacterial small subunit ribosomal RNA", at positions 509 to 807 of the family's 1533-position model. The record is from RNAcentral.